UUUCAUUCUCCCGCUCGCCAAACCCUCGGCGCCUCGAACCCUCCGUAACUUCCUCUCAAAUCCUCUCUGCAACUUCCUCCAUCUCAGGUUAGUCACUCUACUGGACUUACGGUUCUAUGGGGAAAGGACGUGUUCGUGGCAUGAAGUUAGGACCCACACCCACCAUAGUGUUCAAGUCUACACCACGUCAAUUUACCGAGAUUGAGAUUCAUAAUGAGGCCAACAAUAUGGAAGAUUACGAAAACGUAGAUGCUAGACUUUCGAUAUUAGAGUUGAAAAUGGCCAAUAUGCUCUCGAUUUUGGAACAAAAUGGUUUCAUGCAAUCCAAUAAUCUGACUGCUGCACAUACAAAUGGUGAUUCGCCAUACUGUAUAUACAAGAAUCCUGGACGUGUUUGUGGCAUGAGAUUACAACCUACAUCGACUCAAGUGUUCAGAUCUACCUCACACCGUAAUAUUCGUAAUGAGGCUCGUAUGGAUCAAAAUGUAGAUACUAGACUUUCAAUAUUAGAGGCUCAAAUGACGAAGGUAGUUUCGAUCUUACGACGAAAUGGUCUGAUGCAAGGCAAUAUAUGAACAGAACCACCACAGAAGUUUCAAGACAUCACUAGGUAUGACCCCCUAAUGGUGCAUCAAGUUUGUGAAGUCAACUCAAGAUGUUUCUUAAUGUUUUAGCCGAGUCUGUAAUGGUAAAACAAUUUGAUCGCCCAACUCUUAGGCUUAAAUAUCGUUAUAUUGGGAUGAUAUGAAGUAUGUAUUAGAGCAUUCUUCCAUUUUCAACCUCUUGUGUUGAAAUUUCUGGAGGUGGUAGUAUUAGUGUAUUAACA
Molecule: long non-coding RNA, 826 nt
Organism: Cucurbita maxima (winter squash)
Lineage: Eukaryota; Viridiplantae; Streptophyta; Magnoliopsida; Cucurbitales; Cucurbitaceae
Exons: 2
Source: RefSeq, a predicted model, not a curated record